GACGAACCGUGCGAACGUUGUUCGGAUUCACUGGGCUUAAAGGGCGCGUAGGCGGCUCCGCCAGUCCGGGGUGAAAGCCCCCAGCUCAACUGGGGAAGUGCCUCGGAUACUGCGGGGCUCGAGCGGGGUAGGGGCAGCUGGAACUUCCGGUGGAGCGGUGAAAUGCGUAGAUAUCGGAAGGAACGCCGGUGGCGAAAGCGAGCUGCUGGACCCCCCCUGACGCUGAGGCGCGAAAGCCAGGGGAGCGAACGGG
RNAcentral lists this ribosomal RNA (253 nucleotides) under uncultured bacterium. RNAcentral describes it as "partial 16S ribosomal RNA". It matches the Rfam family "Bacterial small subunit ribosomal RNA", at positions 524 to 776 of the family's 1533-position model. The record is from RNAcentral.